Molecule: ribosomal RNA, 497 nt
Filed under: uncultured bacterium
Lineage: Bacteria
Description: partial 16S ribosomal RNA
Rfam family: Bacterial small subunit ribosomal RNA
Source: RNAcentral
GACGAACGCUGGCGGCGUGCCUAAUACAUGCAAGUCGAACGCUGAAGAGAGGAGCUUACUCUUCUUGGAUGAGUUGCGAACGGGUGAGUAACGCGUAGGUAACCUGCCUUGUAGCGGGGGAUAACUAUUGGAAACGAUAGCUAAUACCGCAUAACAAUGGAUGACACAUGUCAUUUAUUUGAAAGGGGCAAUUGCUCCACUACAAGAUGGACCUGCGUUGUAUUAGCUAGUAGGUGAGGUAAUGGCUCACCUAGGCGACGAUACAUAGCCGACCUGAGAGGGUGAUCGGCCACACUGGUACUGAGACACGGCCCAGACUCCUACGGGAGGCAGCAGUAGGGAAUCUUCGGCAAUGGGGGCAACCCUGACCGAGCAACGCCGCGUGAGUGAAGAAGGUUUUCGGAUCGUAAAGCUCUGUUGUAAGUCAAGAACGGGUGUGAGAGUGGAAAGUUCACACUGUGACGGUAGCUUACCAGAAAGGGACGGCUAACUACGUG